Panicum virgatum (switchgrass) is the source of this 1565-nucleotide RNA transcript. It is a transcript of the gene named CASP-like protein 3A1, with no coding region annotated. NCBI's taxonomy places the organism in Eukaryota, Viridiplantae, Streptophyta, Magnoliopsida, Poales, Poaceae. The transcript has 3 exons. The record is from RefSeq and is a predicted model, not a curated record.
CGCCAGAAUUCAAAUGUCCCGAUGGUUCUGCCAUCCCAUCUCACCUCGCCGGCACGCGGUAUGCCCGCCGCUCACGGCCACGUAUCCUCCCGCCCGCGCGGCACCGCGCAUCGCGAUCCCCUCCCGCCUCACCACCUCGCCGACCUCGCCGCGGCCCGGCUCGAGUCCUGCGCCGACGCGCGCCUCCCUCCGCGGAUCCAUGCACAUCUCCUGCGCCGCGGCCUCCUCCUGCUGCCAUUCCACUGGAACGCCCUCACCCGCGCCUACCUCCGCCUCGGCUCGCCCCGCGCCGCGCUCCGCGCCGCCGCGUGCAUGAUGGCCCACGGCGCCGCGCCCGACCGCUACACGUUCCCGCUAGCCCUCAAGGCCGCGGCCCAGGCCGAGCGCCCCGGGUCCAGCCUGCGCCUGCAGCUUCACGCCGCCGCCGUCAUGCGCGGCCUCGCGCGCCACCCCUUCACCGAGAGCGCGCUCAUCAGCGGCUACGCGAAGGCUGGCGACCUGGGCGCCGCCCGCAGGAUGUUCGACGAAAACCCGCACCGGGAACUCGGGUCGUGGAACGCCAUCAUAAGCGGCAUCUCGCAGGAAGGUAGGUACAAGGAGGCGCUGGCGUUGUUUCACGAGCUGCGGAGGGGCGGCAUGGUACCGGAUGAUCUGACCAUGGUGAGCGUUGCGUCCACGUGCUGUGCGCUUGGCGAUAUUGGCUUGGUGGGGCAGCUGCACAAGUGCAUCUUACAAUGCCAGCGCUCCGGCCGGCUCGAUGUGACGCUGUCCAACACGUUGGUUGAUAUGUAUGCUAAGUGUGGUCGCACGGACCUCGCAAGAAGGGUGUUUGAUAGAAUGACUGUCAGGGAUGUGUCCUCAUGGACAACCAUGAUUACUGGGCUUGCAACGCAUGGUGAGGUGCAAGGCGCAUUGGACAUGUUUGAUGAUAUGCUGAGAGAAGCAGUACCACCAAAUAGGGUGACGAUGUUGGCAGUCCUUUCUGCUUGCGCUCAUGGAGGGCUGGUGGAUAGAGGGCUGGGCUUGCUGAAGCAAAUGGAAGAUGGGGAGGUCAAGGUAGUGCCAACAGUCGAACACUACGGGUGUGUGGUUGAUAUGCUUGGUAGAGUUGGCCGUGUGGAUGAGGCGCGUGCUUUGGUGGAGCAGAGGAUGCCAAUGGAGCCAAAUGUGGUGAUAUGGGGAACAUUGCUUGGUGCAGCCGAGAAGCAAGGGAAUGUGAGUGUUGGGGAGUGGGCAGCAGAAAGGCUAGUGGAGGCUGAACCAUGGAAUGACGGGGUUUAUGUGGUGUUGUCCAAUAUUUAUGCUGCUGCUGGUAUGUGGGGUGAGGUCGAGAGGGUGAGGAAGAUUAUGUCAGAGAGGAAAGUCAUGAAGUCUCCUGGCUGCAGCCUGUAGUUCACGAAGUGAUCAGAAUUGAAGAUAUGGAUGGGAUGGGACGGUACACAAAAACUUUCAUGGUCUAAAUAAGUGGAAUUUGAUGGCAUAAUCUUGCGGUAUGCAAGCUAAAGUAGCCUAGACAAAACCAGAAACACCAAACCACAACCAGGAGCAGCACUGAUGGGUUCCAU